CCUACGGGUGGCAGCAGUGAGGAAUAUUGGUCAAUGGACGAGAGUCUGAACCAGCCAAGUAGCGUGAAGGAUGACUGCCCUAUGGGUUGUAAACUUCUUUUAUAUGGGAAUAAAAUGUUCCACGUGUGGGAUUUUGUAUGUAACAUAUGAAUAAGGAUCGGCUAACUCCGUGCCAGCAGCCGCGGUAAUACGGAGGAUCCGAGCGUUAUCCGGAUUUAUUGGGUUUAAAGGGAGCGUAGGUGGAUUGUUAAGUCAGUUGUGAAAGUUUGCGGCUCAACCGUAAAAUUGCAGUUGAAACUGGCAGUCUUGAGUACAGUAGAGGUGGGUGGAAUUCGUGGUGUAGCGGUGAAAUGCUUAGAUAUCACGAAGAACUCCGAUUGCGAAGGCAGUUCACUGGACUGCAACUGACACUGAGGCUCGAAAGUGUGGGUAUCAAACAGGAUUAGAUACCCCAGUAGUC
This 460-nucleotide ribosomal RNA is filed under the name uncultured bacterium. RNAcentral's name for it is "partial 16S ribosomal RNA". It matches the Rfam family "Bacterial small subunit ribosomal RNA", at positions 338 to 795 of the family's 1533-position model. The record is from RNAcentral.